GUGCUCGCCUUGGCAGCACGUAUGCUAAAACUGGGACGAUGCAGAGGUUAGCAUGGGCCCUGUGCAAGGAUGACAUGCAAAUUCACAAAGCAUACCGUGUUUUU
This is a small nuclear RNA of Diceros bicornis minor, 104 nucleotides long. NCBI's taxonomy places the organism in Eukaryota, Metazoa, Chordata, Mammalia, Perissodactyla, Rhinocerotidae. The record is from RefSeq and is a predicted model, not a curated record.